UACGGAGGGUGCAAGCGUUACUCGGAAUCACUGGGCGUAAAGAGCGCGUAGGCGGUCGGAUAAGUUAGAGGUGAAAUCCCGAGGCUCAACUUCGGAAUUGCCUCUGAUACUGUUCGGCUAGAGAGUAGUUGCGGUAGGCGGAAUGUAUGGUGUAGCGGUGAAAUGCUUAGAGAUCAUACAGAACACCGAUUGCGAAGGCAGCUUACCAAGCUACUUCUGACGUUGAGGCACGAAAGCGUGGGGAGCAAACAGG
Molecule: ribosomal RNA, 253 nt
Filed under: uncultured Rikenellaceae bacterium
Lineage: Bacteria; Pseudomonadati; Bacteroidota; Bacteroidia; Bacteroidales; Rikenellaceae
Description: partial 16S ribosomal RNA
Rfam family: Bacterial small subunit ribosomal RNA
Source: RNAcentral